RNAcentral lists this long non-coding RNA (2228 nucleotides) under Hordeum vulgare. Its description in RNAcentral is "long non-coding RNA (HVUL_LNC021062)". The record is from RNAcentral. Lineage: Eukaryota; Viridiplantae; Streptophyta; Magnoliopsida; Poales; Poaceae.
UCCUUAUUUUGCCAAUUGAUGUAUCCCUUAUGCUGUCCCUGAUUGCUGUCGCUACCGAAUUUGACAUCCCCACGUUCAUUCGACCUUCCCACUCCUUAUAAAUAAUACAAAAUCCAUCACAUAAGAUAUUGAGCACAACGUACCAUAACACGAGACUGUAGAUAGAGAGUGGAUUUUCAGCACCCGGGUGCCUAGGCACCCUCUAUGAACUUGGGGAGUACAUUGGCUCAAUCCAAGUUAGCAGAUGCAAAUUAGGCGCACAUUUAUAAUAUCAGAUAACACUCAUUAAUAUUAAGCAAUUCAUCUCUGCACAGUUAACGACUACAAUUUUUGUAUGAUUACCAAUGGCAGGAAAUGAUAUAGAAGGACGAACCACCGUGGUGACGACUUGUAAGUUCGCACCACCUAGAAAUGGCUGGUUGGAAAGAAUGCAUGGAUAGUCGAGGCAGAGAGACUACCAUAUCGCCAUAGCGGGGCUGCUGCGAGAAGCACACUUCUGGGCGGAGCUUCGUUGCCGAUGAGCUCGGAUCUGCUAGGCCGCCGACAAUAUGUCCAGGAGCCAUCAGAGAGAUGGAACAACACCUUCACUGUGUGUGCUCACCUACUUGACUCCGGAUCUCGGUCGAUGCCACUACUGUGUUUCCUCUCCAUACUUGUGAAUCGAUUGCUCCAGAGCACUCAUUUCAGCAUUUAUAUAAACUUGGAUCAAGCUGUGCUGAAGAAACAGUUUUCAAUUAAGUAGGUUAUAAUUGAUGCAGAAAUAAACACCCAAUUUUCAAUUAAGUAGGUUAUAAUUGAUGCAGAAAUAAACACCGGCAGAUAGCUAAGAUGAUUAAAAAAUGUUGGAAUUCAUUUGAGCAGCUACUGAACCCAACAACCUGCUCCAUAUAUAUGGUAAAAUGGCAUCCUAUACCAUGGAUGGUAUGGCAUGCUAACUUCGACAAGAAGAUGUCCAGACUCCAGAGCCACCAUGCCGCUCUCCUUCGCCUCCCCCUCCUCCCUCCCUCACUCCCCAACAGAUCCCCUCUUCCCACUUCCUCCUCGCCCCAGCAAUGCCGCCUAGCUCGUAGCCGGCGCGCCCGUCCGUACGUCCGUCGGUUGCAAUGGCGUCCGCGGCGGUGCUGCUGCUGGCGGCCGCCGUAGUCGUCUUGCUGGCAUGCCUAGCACUCGCAGACCCGCCGACGAGGGAGCAGUCGGCGCUGCUGGCGAUCCUCGCCGCUACCCCGCAGGAGCGCAAGCUCGGGUGGAGCGCCUCCACGCUGGCCUGCGCUUGGGUCGGGGUCACCUGCGACGCCGCCAAUUCCACCGUCAUCAAGCUGCGCCUACCCGGCGUCGGGCUCGUCGGCCCCAUCCCGCCCUCCACCAUCGGUCGCCUCACCAACCUCCAGGUGUUGUCCCUUCGCGCCAACCGCGUGUCCGGGGCCAUCCCCGACUACAUCCUCCGGCUCUCCACUCCGUCUUCCUGCAGGACAACGCCAUCUCCGGCGCCAUCCCGCCGGGGGUCUCCAGGCUCGCGGUGCUGGAGCGGCUCGUGCUCUCCCACCACAACCUGUCGGGCCCCAUCCCCUACACGCUCGGAGGCCUCGCCGCGCUCCGCGCGCUCAGGCUCGACAGCAACCGCCAGUCCGGCAAAAUCCCCAUAAUCGCCAACCCGGGGCUCAACACAACCGGCUCAACGGCUCCAUCCCGCGGGCGCUCGCGCGGUUCCCCGCCGACACCUUCGUCGGAAACCUCCAGUUGUGCGGCACACCGCUGCCCCCUGCAGCCCCUUCUUCCCGUCCCCGUCGCCGGCGCCAGGGAUGGGCCCCAGCAAUGGCAAGCCACUGAAGAAGAAGAAGAAGGUAUCCACCGCAGCGAUCGUCAGCAUCAUCGUGGCCGCCGUGGUCGUCGCGCUGCUGCUGCUUCUGGCCAUCCUGUUCUGCUGCAAGAGGUCCCGACGAGGCGUGCGCGCGGACGGCGCAAAAGAGUGUUGCCUCUCCUUAAUGGAUCCAAUAAAUAGAUAUCCAGGUUUGGGUACUUCUAUAAAAAAUAUUAUAGUUCCAAUAAAUUGGUAUCUAGGUUUGACUACUUCUAUAAGAAGAUUACUUCAUCUAGCAUGUAGACACAUGAAGAAACAUAUUCCUUGUAAUCUGUAGACACUUAACUUGAAGCAGGCCAGCAGCUAAAAAACUGAUAUUAAGCAUGCAUCCUGGGUUCAGGGGCUCAAUCUUUCCAAGAAAUUACGAAAA